CGGUGGAGUAUGUGGUUUAAUUUGAUGCAACGCGAAGAACCUUACCUGGCCUUGACAUGUCGAGAACUUUCCAGAGAUGGAUUGGUGCCUUCGGGAACUCGAACACAGGUGCUGCAUGGCUGUCGUCAGCUCGUGUUGUGAAAUGUUGGGUUAAGUCCCGCAACGAGCGCAACCCUUAUCCUUUGUUGCCAGCGGUCCGGCCGGGAACUCAAAGGAGACUGCCAGUGAUAAACUGGAGGAAGGUGGGGAUGACGUCAAAUCAUCAUGCCCCUUAUGUCUUGGGCUUCA
Molecule: ribosomal RNA, 288 nt
Filed under: Chaetoceros curvisetus
Lineage: Eukaryota; Bacillariophyta; Thalassiosirophyceae; Chaetocerotales; Chaetocerotaceae
Description: partial Bacterial small subunit ribosomal RNA
Rfam family: Bacterial small subunit ribosomal RNA
Source: RNAcentral